This 1871-nucleotide long non-coding RNA is filed under the name Capsicum annuum. Its description in RNAcentral is "long non-coding RNA (CANN_LNC017180)". Lineage: Eukaryota; Viridiplantae; Streptophyta; Magnoliopsida; Solanales; Solanaceae. The record is from RNAcentral.
AAACAUUGAAGAGAAGGGAAAACAGUAGAAAGAAACAAAAGGAAAAAAAAGGAAAAGAAAAGAGAACAUACAUAAAUUCUGGCGAGAAUAACAUUUGGAGAAGACAGAAAAAGGCAAAAACCAAAAGUUGAAAAGAAACAAAAGAAGAAGAAAAAACAAAAAACAGAAAGAAAAAAAUAAAGCUAAAAAAAAGGGUUAGGGUUUGAGUUUGGGGUCUUGUUCGAUUUUUUGGUGACAACGUUCUUGCAUCGAUACUUGAUUUAAUUUGUAAUACAGGUUUUAUCUCAUAUUAUAUUAUAUUUCAUAAGUUUAUCAUAAAUAAAAGCAUGAAUGAAGUUGUUCCAACGACUUGUUACAUUAUUUAGCUUGUGUAAUUGGUUAUUUUUAUAUAGUUCGCACUUUAUGUCUUUGUCUAUCACUCGUUUAUUGGCUUGGAAUAAUGUUGGUUAGAUUAGUUUUGAAUUUUGAAUGAUAUUUUUUAAAAAAAAUUAAUAAUAUUAAAGGAUUGUAAGUUACAUAUAGUUUAUGAAUAAUUAGAAAGUAGUUAGGGUAAAUCUUACUAUGUGACCCAUGCAUACAUGAAAGAAAAUAAUAAUAAAAAUACACCCACAUGCACACAUUUUACUACACUAAACAAAGAUAUCAAUAGAAAAUUAAGAAGAGAAACAGUGAGCAAAAAGAAAAAAAAAUAAGGGAGAAAAAGGAAAUUCUUUGAGGUUUCUUUCAAAGCCGAAGUUUUUUUUAUGGUUUGAAUUGGAAAGGUUUGUCUUUGUUGUGUAAUAGUGUUGUAAUUUUGUUCCAUGAAUACGAGCCCUAAUACCAGAUAACUUUUCUUCCUCUUUCAAUCUCCCCUUAUUUAUUAAUUUAAUUAUAAUAUAGUAACCCAUAUGAUCUUAUUAUAAGUUUAGGACUCCCUCUUACAUUGUUUUCUUGAAUUAAUAGUUCCUCCUCUUCGUCAAAAAAUCGCGCUUUCCUUUUUUUUUUUGGCCGAGCUAUUUUUUUUACUAUUUAUUUAUUAUGAUUAUUGGACAUUGAAAGAGGGAUUGAAAUUGUGGGGUUGAAUUCUUGAAAAUGAAAAGAGUAAAAUGGAUAAGAUAAAAUUGUCUCAAGUUCACAGGAGAUGAAACUAAUGCCUUUAGCACUAGACGAGCUUUAGGCACGUUUUAAAAUAUUUAUCUCGAUUAAGAAUGCGGAGUAUACAUCUUUUUGAGAUGUUAAAAAUAAUUUGAGGAUGUAACAAUGCACCUCGACAAAGAUCGUCUUAAAAAUUAAUUAACUUUCACCGAUUUGUUUAAUAUAAAAUAUAUAGACAAUUUUAGUAUAAUAAAUAUGAGCAAAAUUAGGCCUCAACAUAAUUUUUCAAAAAUAAUUUAAGUCAAGAUAAGUCAAUAAAAGUGACCGUGCUGGAACUACGGGACUCUAGGGGUGCCUCACACCUUCUUCUCGGUUAACAGAAUUUCUUACUCAGUCUUUUGUUUUCACAAGCCAUAAUAAAGAGUCAUUUCCUUUGACUAGGGAUUCAAAAUGGUGACUUGGAACACCAUAACUCAAUUUCAAGUAGUGACUCUGUAAUUAAAACAAUCCCUACUCAAAAUCGUCACUUUAAUUGGAAAAAUCCUUCGACUUCGACCUUCAACUCCUGCGAGUGAAAAAGGGGUGUGACAUCUCUGGCGACUCUGCUGGGGACUAAUAAGAAUUUGGGCUUUUUAUAUUGACUUAUACUUGCUUUAAUUAUUGUUGAUAUUGUGUUUGUUGGCUUUAUGUGCUACUUGUCACUUAUUUACUGCUUUGAUAUUGAUUGAACUGUAUUAUAUAAUGUCUGUUAUUGUGCAGCCCCUCUGAGUCUCUGAAAUAGGAUAGAAGGAAUGUAG